UCGCUUCCUCUAAUCCUUUCCAACAGCUGGCUCUCAACGGUAAUAAGAAGAAAAUUGAAAACAGCUAGACAACAGACCUACUUUCCACGUUACCUCUCUCUCUCUCUCUUGUCCUCCAACGGAAAGAAAAAAAAAACAAGGAGGACAACACCUUCCAGACUGAAAUCUCUCUCUCAUAGAAAGAAAAGAAAAAGAAGAAGAAAAAAACGUAAAAAGAAAAAAGCAAGAAGAGAGGAUUGUUCCUCUUCUUCUUCAAACACACCCACCGCAAAUCACCGUCGACGACACCAUUCCUUUCCAUCGCCGACCUCCUUUUCGAUCAACCACAUAAACCCAUUCGCACAACCCAAAACCUCAACCACCCUCC
This 367-nucleotide long non-coding RNA is filed under the name Lathyrus oleraceus (garden pea). RNAcentral's name for it is "Pisum sativum (pea) long non-coding RNA (PSAT_LNC015242)". The record is from RNAcentral. Lineage: Eukaryota; Viridiplantae; Streptophyta; Magnoliopsida; Fabales; Fabaceae.